This 459-nucleotide ribosomal RNA is filed under the name uncultured bacterium. RNAcentral describes it as "partial 16S ribosomal RNA". It matches the Rfam family "Bacterial small subunit ribosomal RNA", at positions 338 to 795 of the family's 1533-position model. The record is from RNAcentral.
CCUACGGGUGGCAGCAGUGAGGAAUAUUGGUCAAUGGCCGUAAGGCUGAACCAGCCAAGUAGCGUGAGGGAAGACUGCCCUAUGGGUUGUAAACCUCUUUUAUGCGGGGAUAAAGGUGUCCACGUGUGGAUGUUUGCAGGUACCGCAUGAAUAAGGACCGGCUAAUUCCGUGCCAGCAGCCGCGGUAAUACGGAAGGUCCGGGCGUUAUCCGGAUUUAUUGGGUUUAAAGGGUGCGUAGGCGGAAGGUUAAGUCAGCGGUCAAAUGUCGGUGCUCAACACCGGCCUGCCGUUGAAACUGGUCUUCGUGAGUGAGCGAGAAGUAUGCGGAAUGCGUGGUGUAGCGGUGAAAUGCAUAGAUAUCACGCAGAACUCCGAUUGCGAAGGCAGCAUACCGGCGCUCAACUGACGCUGAGGCACGAAAGCGUGGGGAUCGAACAGGAUUAGAUACCCCAGUAGUC